Astyanax mexicanus (Mexican tetra) is the source of this 1477-nucleotide long non-coding RNA. RefSeq lists it as uncharacterized. The transcript has 3 exons. The record is from RefSeq and is a predicted model, not a curated record. NCBI's taxonomy places the organism in Eukaryota, Metazoa, Chordata, Actinopteri, Characiformes, Acestrorhamphidae.
CAGCGCCAAACUUCUCUGCCACUGGAGAAACAAUUGAAUGCAGUAGGGGUCAGGCGUACAGCGCCCUCAAGCUGCAGUUUUCUGGCUUACAAUAGACAGCUCUGACCAAUCAGAGGAGACCAUAGACUGUGUAUAGCUGGACAGAGCAUCGUCUCUUAAAAGUGAAGCCACCACAGGUCGGGCGCCCCCUGCUGUUCGGCUGCAGAAAGCUGUGUAACUCCACCCAUCCCCAUAGGUUUCAAUGGCAAAACAGAACAACUUUCAAUCACGUUUUUUUCUAAUAUACUGUAAUUCUACCUCCAUUAUUUAAAUGCAGCAGCUAGUGUAACCUCUGCUUAUAUUGUCAAAUUUUUAUAUCCCCACAGAAUUCGGUUUUUAAAACUUUAUUCGGCUCUAUUCAAAAAAGGUGUGGUUAUUGUAAAAGGGCUGCUUAUGGGCGGGACCAAUAACAGACCGUCAGCUCCGCUCCGCCCCGCUCUGCAGUCUGUGACCGCGAGGCAGCCCUCAGGGGCGGGGUUAUUUAAAUGAGUAGGCGGUCUCUCCACAGCCUUUCUCCCUCCUCUGGUCUCUACUGCGCAGACUCUGGUCUCUGAAUCGCCAAAAUGGCGGAAGAUUUUGGCUUCAUUUUCAUUGAAUGAAUGGGAACGGCGACACAGAGUCCAUCUUUAUAUACAGUCUGUGGAGGAGACAAUGUGAUCACAUGGUUUGUUGGGGCACCAAACAAAACCGAGGAAGAAAACAUGAUGUUUGCAUCAAGUCAUAUUCUAUGAGUUUAUGUACAUGAAUCAGCCUGAUUACUAUCUAUCUAUCUAUCUAUCUAUCUAUCUAUCUAUCUAUCUAUCUAUCUAUCUAUCUAUCUAUCUAUCUAUCUAUCUAUCUAUCUAUCUAUCUAACUAUCUAUCUAUCUAUCUAUCUAUCUAUCUAUCUAUCUAUCUAAUCUCGUUCACAGUCAUGAGGUCAGCACUGCAUUGUCUCCUGCUGUUCUCAGCUCUGUGGACUCUCUCCUUCUGUGGAACUCGUCAGUUUUAUGUGGUGAACGAAGGAAAGACCUGGACUGAAGCUCAGAAAUACUGCAGAGAGAAAUUCACUGAUCUGGCAACCAUUCAAAACGAGGAGGAAAUGGACACUGUAAAAGCUAUUGUUAACUGGAGAUAUAGCAACUACUGGAUAGGACUGAAAAUGAACCCUGAAACAAACGGAAAAAGCUGGAUCUGGUCAGAUGGGAGUGACUCCUCAUACAGUGACUGGUACCCCGGAGAGCCAAACAACCAUGGGACCAAUAACUGUGUGCAGACCAUAGGAGCAUAUGGAUACAGAUGGAAUGAUGCAGGGUGUUGGUAUCAGGCUUAUUCUAUUUGCCAUGAUGGUGAGUAAUAUGAGAGCAACACACCUGAUACUGAUCUGAAUUCCAGAGAACUUACAGGAAAAUACACAGAAAUACACCAAUUUAAACCACAACUAAACUCUUUGACAAAAA